This 565-nucleotide ribosomal RNA is filed under the name Escherichia coli. Its description in RNAcentral is "bacterial LSU rRNA". It matches the Rfam family "Bacterial large subunit ribosomal RNA", at positions 2378 to 2925 of the family's 2925-position model. The record is from RNAcentral. Lineage: Bacteria; Pseudomonadati; Pseudomonadota; Gammaproteobacteria; Enterobacterales; Enterobacteriaceae.
AGCGUGACGGCGCGAGCAGGUGCGAAAGCAGGUCAUAGUGAUCCGGUGGUUCUGAAUGGAAGGGCCAUCGCUCAACGGAUAAAAGGUACUCCGGGGAUAACAGGCUGAUACCGCCCAAGAGUUCAUAUCGACGGCGGUGUUUGGCACCUCGAUGUCGGCUCAUCACAUCCUGGGGCUGAAGUAGGUCCCAAGGGUAUGGCUGUUCGCCAUUUAAAGUGGUACGCGAGCUGGGUUUAGAACGUCGUGAGACAGUUCGGUCCCUAUCUGCCGUGGGCGCUGGAGAACUGAGGGGGGCUGCUCCUAGUACGAGAGGACCGGAGUGGACGCAUCACUGGUGUUCGGGUUGUCAUGCCAAUGGCACUGCCCGGUAGCUAAAUGCGGAAGAGAUAAGUGCUGAAAGCAUCUAAGCACGAAACUUGCCCCGAGAUGAGUUCUCCCUGACUCCUUGAGGGUCCUGAAGGAACGUUGAAGACGACGACGUUGAUAGGCCGGGUGUGUAAGCGCAGCGAUGCGUUGAGCUAACCGGUACUAAUGAACCGUGAGGCUUAACCUUACAACGCCGAAG